Molecule: long non-coding RNA, 5564 nt
Filed under: Sus scrofa (pig)
Lineage: Eukaryota; Metazoa; Chordata; Mammalia; Artiodactyla; Suidae
Description: lncRNA (ENSSSCG00000062742.1)
Source: RNAcentral
GGCUGCACCUAUAGAAGUUCCCAGUCUAAGGGUCGAAUCAGAGCUGCAGCCGCUGGCCUAUGCCAUAGCCACAGCCACAACCAAGCUGUGUCUGCAAACUUCACUUGAGCUUCUGGCAAUGCCGGAUCCUUAACCCUCUGAGCAAGGCCAGGGGUCGAACCCACAUCCUCAUGGAUACCAGUCAGGUUCGUUACCACUGAGCCACAAUGGGAACUCCCCCAUAGUGACUUUAAUGCAUACACACCAUAUCCCGUAUCCCCUCUAGUUGAACCAGUGCUUCCCAAGGCCACUAUGAGCCAGGCAGAGUAUAAAUUGGUCUUUGCUUUCACACUCUGUGACCUUGGGGGAUUCGCAUUCUCAAGGAAACUGUUUUCCUGCCCGAGGGUUUACAUUUAAUACCUAGUCUCUUACUGAAAACAUGUAGCUGGUGAAUGACUUUGAACUCCUUGAAAAAGCAAUGAGCUCCUCAUAACAAAAGCGAUGUGUGAGAAGAUGUUAUUAUUAACUCCCUAGACAUCCUUCAGAGUGUCAAAAUCACCUACCCAAGGAGCAGGGAGUCUAAUAUGGGUACAAAUUCCUCCCAUCUUGAUAUUCUGUUUCAGGGUUUUAAUUUGCGCCAGACUCACACAUCAUGGGUCCCAUGAAAGACAAUAGUUGUCUGCAAGAUCUCAUCACCACCCUGUCCCCAAACUUUCUGAAACUCUGGGGACCCCAAGGCAAAGGUGGAGAGAUUCUGUCAGAUCAUUCGCACCCUAUUCCCAGAGGUCAUCUGCAAGGCCAAAGUGCCAACAUUUGCCUGGGUCUAUGAUCCAGUCCCUCAGCUAUCAAUGACAUGCAUCUGGAAAAUUUAUUCCAUAAUGAUAAAAAAAUCCAUGUGUUACAGUUCUGGUCUUCAUAACCCUUUCUGGUCAAGGAAUUAGCCUUCCCCUUAUGAAAUAAGAAAAGGUAUCAACAGAGACCAAUGCUAGCUUUCUGACAUAAAAGAAAGGGAAAGGAAUUGAUACUAAAUUGGGAAAUCUAAUGUUUACCUAUUGGCUUCACUCUCUCACACACACACACACACACACACACACACACACAAACACACACACACACACUAUAGAUAUAGAGAGAUAGUCACAGACACAGAUAUCGAUGUUCAUUUCCCCCCAAUACAAUCCUUCAGGUAGAUGGAUUAUCUCAUUAGUGGAUGUGUAAACUGAGUCACAGAACAUCAAAAUCCUAAACUCCUCUCAGCUAAGUGAUCACCGAUUCUCAUUCAUUAUUUAUCCUGUUUGCUGGUCAGGAACUAGAUCUGUCUCAUUCAUCUCAGAUCCCCCCACCUAGCAGAGGGUUUGGCACAUAGUCGGUGCUCAGUGAAAUUUGACUCCCAUCUGUGAAGCCUGUUAUUCAUUAUAACUUGUGACACUGUCCCAUCCUCACCAGCUCUUCAUUUAUUCAGUGACAUUUCCUUGACUACCUACUAUGUGCCAGACCCUGUGCUAGGCAAAGGGAUACAGGAUGUUUCUCACCAUCCUAUAAAUGACAACUCGUGAAUACAUAUUACUUAGUUGAACGCUAAAAGGAAUGGAAAAGUUUCCUACAAAGGGCAUGAAAGUCAGAAGCAGGAGAGGAUAAGUGGGUGACAUACACCACCUUACAUUGGAUGUCAGGGUUAGGGAACUCCUUCUCUUGGAAGGUCACCGUGACCUUUUGUCAUGUCCACACACCUCAGGCUUUAAGCCUUAUGGUCAAGAUUUCAUUGCCUUUGAAACAAGGCAAUGAAAUCUAGAAUCUAGGGUUGCCAGAUUUAGCAAAUUAAAACACUGGACUCCCAGUUACAUUUGAUUUUUGGAUAAGCAGUGAUGUCUAGUACAUCUCAAAUAUUGCAUGGGAUAGACUUACACUAAAAUAUUUUUAUCAGAAAUUCACAAUGAAUUAGGUGUCUUGCAUUUUCUCUCUCAAACUUAUCAGAGACUCAUUCAGUCAUUUUAAAGGUAAAUAGAAUAUAAUGUAGAUUCUACUGAAAUAGAGGUUGGAGACCUAAAUUUGAUAGGGUGUCAAUUACAUAUUUCAAUUACUGAGAAGAGUUCACUUUCAAAGAAGGAAGCAGUGUCUGCAUAAGUUCUUUUUCUGUCAUGAUUAAUGUGCCAACGAAGGCAAGAGAGAACACCAAGCCUGGGACCCAGCAAACACUCCACAUCAACUGUGGUCAUUGAAUUAUUUUCAUUAUUUCUGGUGUGGAGUGCUCAUUAAUCCAUUAUGCUAAAAUCUAGUGAAGCUUAUUAUUUUCCAAGUACACUGUCCCAUCCUCACCAGCUCUUCAUUUAUUCAGUGACAUACUGGGGCUUUUCAUAUACAAGAUCACUCUUAAUCCUUUCAGCACUCUUAGGAGAAAAAUAUCACCCUGAGAUCACAGAUGAGGAAACUGAGGCUGAGUGAUGCAGUAUUUUGCCCAAUGUGGGAGAAUAUGUGUUUUAACCUAAUUUACCCCUGAUUCCAAGCCCUAUGGCUUCUCUACUACAAUAAGUGCAAGUGCAAGGUGUUUGGGUUUUAAUUGAAAACCUCACCAUAAAGGAAAGAAAAUGAAUUCAGGAUAGCUAAGUCUAAUUAAGCAGUGUUAAAUAUAUCUUGUGUAUUUUUGCAGUAAGGCUCUUUGCUGUGUGUGGUUGCUGGUGACAGGUCACCCACCUAUCUUCUUUGCAGACAUAAAUAACACCAAGCAUCUGGAAGGAGGUGUGGAAAUCUGCACAAAGAAUGAAAGGCACUUUGGUACAGAAAUGCCACAUUUGCUAGAAUAAACAGAAGCCCCAGUCAGCACUGGAUCGCAGGCCUUAGACCCUGCUCUACUGACCCAAGACAAAGGGAGGGGCAGAAUGGGGGAAUGAAUGACCCCAAUACCAUCACCUUGGGGUGCAGUGAGUAGGUGUCCCUCCCUCUGAGGUGGGAUGGGACUCAAGUCCUCGGGACUCCCCUUAAGCUCCUUGUUCUCCAGUACAAUAUCAUUCCAUUGGCUAAACAUUAAAGGACCUCAAAGGGGGACAAUGUCUAUGAAGUCCUGGGUUGUUUAUCCAGUAUCUGAAAGUCCCCAGACAGGAAUAAGGUGUUGCGCAGAGCGGGGGACAAAACCACAACAGCCUGCAAAGCUGUUCUUCUGGGUAAGCGUGAGUAAUAAACAUAACAACAAAACCGACAUCCCGGGUGUAUAAUUUCCACAGCUCCCUGGAGUGUGAGUAUGAUAGUCAUAAUUAUGCUAAUUUUUCAGCUGAGGUCCCAGAAGCCCCGAGAGGUUGGUUAUGUGCCUCUCCCAAAGUUUCUGAGCACACCCACAAGAGAGCCAGAAACCAGAGGUGGGGGCAGAGCAGUUGCCGGUGAUGCUGGAUUGCAGGCUGCCCAACAAUGUUCUCUACCUUCUCUUUCAUCACUGGAGAGGAACCUCUCUGAGGCUAGUAUCUCCACUUGCACCAAAGCCAAUAACCCUUUUUCCACCCAAAGUCAUCAUUCCAAAGCUUAAGUCCACCAGCUCCAUCAAUUGCGACUUUGCUCCUUGAUCAUCCUCAUCAGCAUGUAAACACCUGCUGCCCAUGUAGAAUCAUUCACAUGCAUCCACACCUGUACGCAUGGAUACAUACACAGAUAUGUGCCAGUCUCCUCUCUCCCCAUCUCGCUCCCAUGCUGUGCCAUUAUUCCUUUAACAUAAAAAAGAUGGAUUGCUAAAUGGAUGUACGAUUGGAUAAAUGGACAUGAGUAGGCAAAUCUAUUAAAAGGUUAAGAAUAGAAUCUAGGAGGGGGAGUACGUGUAUUCACUGUACUCUUCUUUCAGCCUUUCUGCAUGUGUGAAAACUUUCAAAGUGAAAUAUUGGGAGGCAACUACUUUCCUUUCCUCCUAUGACCUUCUGAAACCACUCCCAAUAAGGCUUUCAUCACCACUAUAUCCCAAGUUCUCAUCAGUCACCCGUGACCUUCAUGUUGCUAAAUACAGUGGUCACUCCCCAACCCUCUUACUUGAUCUGUUGGCAGUGUUUGACUCUCUUCUUCCAAUACGGUUUUGCCCACUCAGUUUCUGGGGAAUCACUCUCAGUUUUCCUCAUAAGUCAUUAGCUUUUCCUUCUUGGUCUCUUUACCUGUUUUGUUCUCACCUUUUCUAUAGGGAAUAGUAGUGAGCCAUAGGACUUCUUCCUUAGACUACUUUUCUUUCUUUCUUUCUUUCUUUCUUUCUUUCUUUCUUUCUUUCUUUCUUUUCUUUCUUUCUUUCUUUCUCUUUCUUUCCUUCCUUCCUUCCUUCUUUCUCUUUCAUUCCCUUCCUUUCUUCCUGCCUUCCUAUCUCUUUCUUCCUUCCCUCCUUCCUUUUUAAGGGCCUCACCUGUGGCAUAUGGAAGUUCCCAGGCUAGGGGUUGAAUUGGAGCUGCAGCUUGUAGUCUAUACCACAACAAUGCUCAGAUCCAAGCCACCUCUUCCACCUAUACCACAGCUCACAGCAAUGCCUGAUUGCUGACCCACUGAGUGAAGCCAGGGAUCAAACCUAAGUACUCAUGGAUACUAGCUGGGUUCAUUACCACUGAGCCAUGGUGGGAACUCCCCUUAGACUCCUUUUCUAUUCAUACUCCUCUGCUGAGUUCAUCCAGUCUCAUUUUCAGUGAUAUCUUUAUAGAUGACCUGCAAAUAUUGAUCUGUAGCCUAGACCUUGCCCCUGAGCUCUAGAUUUCUAUAUUGAACUGCCUACUCCAUAUCUGGACUUGGAGGUCUAGUAGACACCUCAGUCUUGAAAUAUCCAAAGACAAACUCCUGGUUUUAUACCAGCACCCCUCGUUUCACUCACAUCUGCUUAUCACCCUGUGAACAAGUCCAGCCUUGCCAGAUGGAGGAUAAGAGGUCAUGUAGAGAUAAGGCAUUCUGUCAACUGCAAGACCUCCAAGUGAGGCCAUCCCAGAACAGUCACCAGCCAACAAACCAGCUAAUGGUAUGUGUGGUCUCAGGAGAGACCAGCCAAGUCAACCAACCUAUCUCACAGAAUUAUGAGACCAAUAAAGGUUGUUUUCUUAAAACAUUAAUACUUGGGAUAGGGAGUUCCUGUUGUGGCUCAGUGGUAACAAACCCAAUUAGUAUCCACGGGGACACUGGUUCAAUCCCUGGCCUUGCCCAGUGGGCUAAGGAUCCAGCGUUGCCAUGAGCUGUGGUGUAGGUGGAAGACGCAGCUCAGAUACUGCAUGGUUGUGGCUGUGGCAUAGGCCAGCAGCCACAGCUCCGACUGGACCCCUAGCCUGGGAAUGUCUAUAUCCUGUGGUUGCAGCACUAAAAAACAAAACAAAACAACAACAAAAAACCCACCUGUGAUUGUUUAUUCUUAAUGAGAAAUUCCAGAUUACCUAAAUUUUCUAGAAAGUAUGUGUAAUUUUAGGCAGAAAGAGUCACUUUUGAAGAAAGGCAAUUACCUAAUUCUCUAAAUGCAUGAAUUGGGAGCUGGCCUUGUCAUCUGCCCUUAUUUCCUUGAAUAUGGUCCCGUAAGCUGCCCCAAUUUUCUUACCUAGGAGAGUUUCUUUUGAGAUUCUUGGGUAGAGCUUUCUGCAUGCUUCAUCUAGGCUGUA